AGUGAACGCUGGCGGUAGGCCUAACACAUGCAAGUCGAACGGCAGCACAGUAAGAGCUUGCUCUUACGGGUGGCGAGUGGCGGACGGGUGAGGAAUACAUCGGAAUCUACUUUUUCGUGGGGGAUAACGUAGGGAAACUUACGCUAAUACCGCAUACGACCUACGGGUGAAAGCAGGGGAUCUUCGGACCUUGCGCGAUUGAAUGAGCCGAUGUCGGAUUAGCUAGUUGGCGGGGUAAAGGCCCGCCAAGGCGACGAUCCGUAGCUGGUCUGAGAGGAUGAUCAGCCACACUGGAACUGAGACACGGUCCAGACUCCUACGGGAGGCAGCAGUGGGGAAUAUUGGACAAUGGGCGCAAGCCUGAUCCAGCCAUACCGCGUGGGUGAAGAAGGCCUUCGGGUUGUAAAGCCCUUUUGUUGGGAAAGAAAAGCAGCAGGUUAAUACCCCGCUGUUCUGACGGUACCCAAAGAAUAAGCACCGGCUAACUUCAUG
Molecule: ribosomal RNA, 492 nt
Filed under: uncultured bacterium
Lineage: Bacteria
Description: partial 16S ribosomal RNA
Rfam family: Bacterial small subunit ribosomal RNA
Source: RNAcentral